Molecule: ribosomal RNA, 253 nt
Filed under: uncultured bacterium
Lineage: Bacteria
Description: partial 16S ribosomal RNA
Rfam family: Bacterial small subunit ribosomal RNA
Source: RNAcentral
UACGUAGGGUGCGCGCGUUAAUCGGAAUUACUGGGCGUAAAGCGUGCGCAGGCGGCUUCGCAAGUCAGACGUGAAAUCCCCGGGCUUAACCUGGGAAUGGCGUUUGAAACUACGGAGCUGGAGUAUGGCAGAGGGGGGUGGAAUUCCACGUGUAGCGGUGAAAUGCGUAGAUAUGUGGAGGAACACCGAUGGCGAAGGCAGCCCCCUGGGCCAAUACUGACGCUCAUGCACGAAAGCGUGGGGAGCAAACAGG